RNAcentral lists this ribosomal RNA (492 nucleotides) under uncultured bacterium. RNAcentral's name for it is "partial 16S ribosomal RNA". It matches the Rfam family "Bacterial small subunit ribosomal RNA", at positions 29 to 507 of the family's 1533-position model. The record is from RNAcentral.
AGUGAACGCUGGCGGUAGGCCUAACACAUGCAAGUCGAACGGCAGCACAGUAAGAGCUUGCUCUUACGGGUGGCGGGUGGCGGACGGGUGAGGAAUACAUCGGAAUCUACUUUUUCGUGGGGGAUAACGUAGGGAAACUUACGCUAAUACCGCAUACGACCUACGGGUGAAAGCAGGGGAUCUUCGGACCUUGCGCGAUUGAAUGAGCCGAUGUCGGAUUAGCUAGUUGGCGGGGUAAAGGCCCACCAAGGCGACGAUCCGUAGCUGGUCUGAGAGGAUGAUCAGCCACACUGGAACUGAGACACGGUCCAGACUCCUACGGGAGGCAGCAGUGGGGAAUAUUGGACAAUGGGCGCAAGCCUGAUCCAGCCAUACCGCGUGGGUGAAGAAGGCCUUCGGGUUUUAAAGCCCUUUUGUUGGGAAAGAAAAGCAGCAGGUUAAUACCCCGCUGUUCUGACGGUACCCAAAGAAUAAGCACCGGCUAACUUCGUG